RNAcentral lists this ribosomal RNA (1247 nucleotides) under Cabbage witches'-broom phytoplasma. Its description in RNAcentral is "bacterial SSU rRNA". It matches the Rfam family "Bacterial small subunit ribosomal RNA", at positions 153 to 1399 of the family's 1533-position model. Lineage: Bacteria; Bacillati; Mycoplasmatota; Mollicutes; Acholeplasmatales; Acholeplasmataceae. The record is from RNAcentral.
GAAACGACUGCUAAGACUGGAUAGGAGACAAGAAGGCAUCUUCUUCGUUUUUAAAAGACCUAGCAAUAGGUAUGCUUAGGGAGGAGCUUGCGUCACAUUAGUUAGUUGGUGGGGUAAAGGCCUACCAAGACUAUGAUGUGUAGCCGGGCUGAGAGGUUGAACGGCCACAUUGGGACUGAGACACGGCCCAAACUCCUACGGGAGGCAGCAGUAGGGAAUUUUCGGCAAUGGAGGAAACUCUGACCGAGCAACGCCGCGUGAACGAUGAAGUAUUUCGGUACGUAAAGUUCUUUUAUUAGGGAAGAAUAAAUGAUGGAAAAAUCAUUCUGACGGUACCUAAUGAAUAAGCCCCGGCUAACUAUGUGCCAGCAGCCGCGGUAAUACAUAGGGGGCAAGCGUUAUCCGGAAUUAUUGGGCGUAAAGGGUGCGUAGGCGGUUAAAUAAGUUUAUGGUCUAAGUGCAAUGCUCAACAUUGUGAUGCUAUAAAAACUGUUUAGCUAGAGUAAGAUAGAGGCAAGUGGAAUUCCAUGUGUAGUGGUAAAAUGCGUAAAUAUAUGGAGGAACACCAGUAGCGAAGGCGGCUUGCUGGGUCUUUACUGACGCUGAGGCACGAAAGCGUGGGGAGCAAACAGGAUUAGAUACCCUGGUAGUCCACGCCGUAAACGAUGAGUACUAAACGUUGGUUAAAACCAGUGUUGAAGUUAACACAUUAAGUACUCCGCCUGAGUAGUACGUACGCAAGUAUGAAACUUAAAGGAAUUGACGGGACUCCGCACAAGCGGUGGAUCAUGUUGUUUAAUUCGAAGGUACCCGAAAAACCUCACCAGGUCUUGACAUGCUUCUGCAAAGCUGUAGAAACACAGUGGAGGUUAUCAGUUGCACAGGUGGUGCAUGGUUGUCGUCAGCUCGUGUCGUGAGAUGUUGGGUUAAGUCCCGCAACGAGCGCAACCCUUAUUGUUAGUUACCAGCACGUAAUGGUGGGGACUUUAGCAAGACUGCCAGUGAUAAAUUGGAGGAAGGUGGGGACGACGUCAAAUCAUCAUGCCCCUUAUGACCUGGGCUACAAACGUGAUACAAUGGCUGUUACAAAGGGUAGCUGAAGCGCAAGUUUUUGGCGAAUCUCAAAAAAACAGUCUCAGUUCGGAUUGAAGUCUGCAACUCGACUUCAUGAAGUUGGAAUCGCUAGUAAUCGCGAAUCAGCAUGUCGCGGUGAAUACGUUCUCGGGGUUUGUACACACCGCCCGUCA